This 404-nucleotide ribosomal RNA is filed under the name uncultured bacterium. Its description in RNAcentral is "bacterial SSU rRNA". It matches the Rfam family "Bacterial small subunit ribosomal RNA", at positions 28 to 435 of the family's 1533-position model. The record is from RNAcentral.
GACGAACGCUGGCGGCGUGCUUAACACAUGCAAGUCGAGCGGUAAGGCCCUUUCGGGGGUACACGAGCGGCGAACGGGUGAGUAACACGUGGGUGACCUGCCCUCAGCUCUGGGAUAAGCCUGGGAAACCGGGUCUAAUACUGGAUAUGACUCCAUGACGCAUGUUGUGGGGUGGAAAGCCUUGUGCGGCUGAGGAUGGGCCCGCGGCCUAUCAGCUUGUUGGUGGGGUGANGGCCUACCAAGGCGACGACGGGUAGCCGGCCUGAGAGGGCGACCGGCCACACUGGGACUGAGACACGGCCCAGACUCCUACGGGAGGCAGCAGUGGGGAAUCUUGCGCAAUGGGCGAAAGCCUGACGCAGCGACGCCGCGUGAGGGAUGACGGCCUCGGUUGUAACGUACUU